GACGAAGGGGGCUAGCGUUGUUCGGAAUUACUGGGCGUAAAGCGCGUGUAGGCGGUUGUUCAAGUCGGGUGUGAAAGCCUUGAGCUCAACCUGGGAAUGCCAUUCGAGACUGCAUAGCUAGGGUGCGGAAGAGGGAAGCGGAAUUUCCGGUGUAGCGGUGAAAUGCGUAGAUAUCGGAAGGAACACCAGUGGCGAAAGCGGCUUCCUGGUCCAGCACCGACGUUCAGGCACGAAAGCCAGGGGAGCAAACGGG
Molecule: ribosomal RNA, 253 nt
Filed under: uncultured bacterium
Lineage: Bacteria
Description: partial 16S ribosomal RNA
Rfam family: Bacterial small subunit ribosomal RNA
Source: RNAcentral